RNAcentral lists this ribosomal RNA (483 nucleotides) under uncultured bacterium. RNAcentral's name for it is "bacterial SSU rRNA". It matches the Rfam family "Bacterial small subunit ribosomal RNA", at positions 28 to 507 of the family's 1533-position model. The record is from RNAcentral.
GAUGAACGCUAGCGGCAGGCUUAACACAUGCAAGUCGAGGGGCAGCGAGGGUAGCAAUACCUGUCGGCGACCGGCGGAAGGGUGAGUAACGCGUGAGCAACAUACCCGUAUCAGUGGGAUAAUACAGGGAAACUUGUUCUAAUAUCGCAUAAUAUUAUUCAGAGGCAUCUUUGGAUAAUUAAAGUUACGGCGGAUACGGAAUGGCUCGCGUGACAUUAGCUAGAUGGUAGGGUAAUGGCCUACCAUGGCGAUGAUGUCUAGGGGUUCUGAGAGGGAGGUCCCCCACACUGGAACUGAGACACGGUCCAGACUCCUACGGGAGGCAGCAGUGAGGAAUAUUGGACAAUGGAUGGAAAUCUGAUCCAGCCAUGCCGCGUGCAGGAAGGCGGCCCUAUGGGUUGUAAACUGCUUUUGUACGGGAGCAAUAGGUCUACGAGUAGAUUGAUGAGAGUACUGUACGAAUAAGCAUCGGCUAACUCCGUG